AUUGAACGCUAGCGGCAUGCCUUACACAUGCAAGUCGAACGGCAGCGGGGGAGCUUGCUCCCGCCGGCGAGUGGCGAACGGGUGAGUAAUACAUCGGAACGUACCCAGUAGCGGGGGAUAGCCCGGCGAAAGCCGGAUUAAUACCGCAUACGCCCUACGGGGGAAAGGGGGGGAUCGCAAGACCUCUCACUAUUGUAGCGGCCGAUGGCUGCUUAGCUAGUUGGUGGGGUAAAGGCCUACAAAGGCGACGAGCAGUAGCUGGUCUGAGAGGACGACCAGCCACACUGGGACUGAGACACGGCCCAGACUCCUACGGGAGGCAGCAGUGGGGAAUUUUGGACAAUGGGCGAAAGCCUGAUCCAGCAAUGCCGCGUGUGCGAAGAAGGCCUUCGGGUUGUGAGCACUUUUGUCAGGGAAGAAAUCGUUUGGGUUAAUACCCCGAGCAGUUGACGGUACCUGAAGAAUAAGCACCGGCUAACUACGUGCCAGCCGCCGCCGUAA
This 501-nucleotide ribosomal RNA is filed under the name uncultured bacterium. RNAcentral describes it as "partial 16S ribosomal RNA". It matches the Rfam family "Bacterial small subunit ribosomal RNA", at positions 29 to 523 of the family's 1533-position model. The record is from RNAcentral.